AAUCAACGCUGGCGGCGUGCCUCAGACAUGCAAGUCGAACGCGAAAGUUCCCUUCGGGGGCGAGUAGAGUGGCGCACGGGUGAGUAACACGUAGGUAAUCUACCUUUGGGUGGGGAAGUAACAGCCGGAAACGGCUGCUAAUACCGCAUAAUGCAGCGGCUCGACAUCGAGACAGUUGUUAAAGCGGGGGAGUCGCAAGACCUCGCGCCUAAAGAGGAGCCUGCGGCGGAUUAGCUUGUUGGUGAGGUAAUGGCUCACCAAGGCAUCGAUCCGUAGCCGGCCUGA
This 285-nucleotide ribosomal RNA is filed under the name uncultured bacterium. RNAcentral's name for it is "partial 16S ribosomal RNA". It matches the Rfam family "Bacterial small subunit ribosomal RNA", at positions 32 to 295 of the family's 1533-position model. The record is from RNAcentral.